RNAcentral lists this long non-coding RNA (1090 nucleotides) under Equus asinus (donkey). RNAcentral's name for it is "lncRNA (ENSEASG00005032150.1)". Lineage: Eukaryota; Metazoa; Chordata; Mammalia; Perissodactyla; Equidae. The record is from RNAcentral.
CUCUUGCACAGUUUGUAUUUUUUAUUGUUGAGUAUUGGAAAUUCUAUAUUUAUAUUGAAUACAAGUUCUUCUUUUUGAGUUCAUAAUAGUUUACAUCAUUGUGAAAUUUCAGUUGUACAUAUUUCUUGUCACUACGCAAGUGCUCCCCUUCACCCCCUGUGCCCACCCCCCACUCCCCUUCCCCUGGUAACCACUGAACUGUUUUCUUUGUCCAUGUGUUUGUUUGUAUUCCACAUAUGAGUGAAAUCAUAUGGUGUUUGUCUUUCUCAGUCUGGCUUAUUUCGCUUAGCAUAAUUCCCUCCAGAUCCAUCCACGUUGUUGCAAAAGGGAGAAUUUUGUCUUUUUUUAUGGUUGAAUGGUAUUCCAUUGUAUAUAUAUGCCACAUCUUCUUUAUCCAAUCAUCAGUCGAUGGACACUUGGAAUGUUUCCAUGUCUUGCCUAUUGUGAAUAAUGCUGCAAUGAACAUAGGGGUGCAUAUGUUACUUUGGAUUGUUGAUUUCAAUUUGUUUGGGUAGAUACCCAGUAGUGGGAUAGCUGGGUCAUAAGGUAUAUCUGUUUAGUUUUUUGAGGAAUCUCCAUACUGUUUUCCAUAGUGGCUGCACUAGUUUGCAUUCCCACCAAGCAUACAAGUUCUUUACCAGAUGCAGUUGACCUUCCGGAUCCACAUAUACUAUGUUUGUAAUCCGUGGUUGGUUGAAUCUUCGGAUGGAGUCGACUAAAGGACUAGAGCGUCCGUGGAUUUUGGUAUCUGCAGGGGCGUCCUGGAACCAAUCCUCCACGGGUGGGACACCUACCACAGCAUGGCUUGCCAAGUGGUGCCAUAUCUGCACCCAGGAUUCAAACUGGUGAACCUCGGGCCACUGAAGCAGAAUGUGUGCACUUAACUGCUGCACCACCAGGCUGGCCCUUUGUUAAGUUUACGACAGGGGUCAGGAAAGUCCUUGACGAUGGCAUAUAAUUUGGACCAAGACCAAGAUUUAAAUGUUGUCUCUUCUGUUGGCCUCACUUGAGAAUGAGUAUUGGCUGCACCUUGGGCUUCAUCUAUAAGAGAUGGGGACCCAGUGAACCUUAUAGUUAUAGGGAGUUGAGG